RNAcentral lists this ribosomal RNA (649 nucleotides) under Staphylococcus caprae. RNAcentral's name for it is "bacterial SSU rRNA". It matches the Rfam family "Bacterial small subunit ribosomal RNA", at positions 82 to 718 of the family's 1533-position model. The record is from RNAcentral. Lineage: Bacteria; Bacillati; Bacillota; Bacilli; Caryophanales; Staphylococcaceae.
UCCUCUGAUGUUAGCGGCGGACGGGUGAGUAACACGUGGAUAACCUACCUAUAAGACUGGGAUAACUUCGGGAAACCGGAGCUAAUACCGGAUAACAUGUUGAACCGCAUGGUUCAACAGUGAAAGACGGUCUUGCUGUCACUUAUAGAUGGAUCCGCGCCGCAUUAGCUAGUUGGUAAGGUAACGGCUUACCAAGGCAACGAUGCGUAGCCGACCUGAGAGGGUGAUCGGCCACACUGGAACUGAGACACGGUCCAGACUCCUACGGGAGGCAGCAGUAGGGAAUCUUCCGCAAUGGGCGAAAGCCUGACGGAGCAACGCCGCGUGAGUGAAGAAGGUCUUCGGAUCGUAAAACUCUGUUAUUAGGGAAGAACAAAUGUGUAAGUAACUAUGCACGUCUUGACGGUACCUAAUCAGAAAGCCACGGCUAACUACGUGCCAGCAGCCGCGGUAAUACGUAGGUGGCAAGCGUUAUCCGGAAUUAUUGGGCGUAAAGCGCGCGUAGGCGGUUUUUUAAGUCUGAUGUGAAAGCCCACGGCUCAACCGUGGAGGGUCAUUGGAAACUGGAAAACUUGAGUGCAAAAGAGGAAAGUGGAAUUCCAUGUGUAGCGGUGAAAUGCGCAGAGAUAUGGAGGAACACCAGUGGCGA